AAGUCGAGCGGAAGGCCCUUCGGGGUACUCGAGCGGCGAACGGGUGAGUAACACGUGAGUAACCUGCCCCUGACUCUGGGAUAAGCCCGGGAAACUGGGUCUAAUACCGGAUACGACCACUUCAGGCAUCUGAUGGUGGUGGAAAGAUUUCUCGGUUGGGGAUGGGCUCGCGGCCUAUCAGCUUGUUGGUGGGGUAGUGGCCUACCAAGGCGACGACGGGUAGCCGGCCUGAGAGGGCGACCGGCCACACUGGGACUGAGACACGGCCCAGACUCCUACGGGAGGCAGCAGUGGGGAAUAUUGCGCAAUGGGCGGAAGCCUGACGCAGCGACGCCGCGUGGGGGAUGACGGCCUUCGGGUUGUAAACCUCUUUCAGCAGGGACGAAGUUGACGUGUACCUGCAGAAGAAGCGCCGGCUAACUACGUGCCAGCAGCCGCGGUAAUACGUAGGGCGCAAGCGUUGUCCGGAAUUAUUGGGCGUAAAGAGCUCGUAGGUGGCUGGUCGCGUCUGCCGUGAAAGCCCGCAGCUUAACUGCGGGUCUGCGGUGGAUACGGGCCGGCUAGAGGUAGGCAGGGGCAAGUGGAAUUCCUGGUGUAGCGGUGAAAUGCGCAGAUAUCAGGAGGAACACCGGUGGCGAAGGCGGCUUGCUGGGCCUUACCUGACGCUGAGGAGCGAAAGCGUGGGGAGCGAACAGGAUUAGAUACCCUGGUAGUCCACGCCGUAAACGUUGGGCGCUAGGUGUGGGACCCUUCCACGGGUUCCGUGCCGGAGCUAACGCAUUAAGCGCCCCGCCUGGGGAGUACGGCCGCAAGGCUAAAACUCAAAGGAAUUGACGGGGGCCCGCACAAGCGGCGGAGCAU
RNAcentral lists this ribosomal RNA (861 nucleotides) under Nonomuraea sp. 3-193. RNAcentral describes it as "bacterial SSU rRNA". It matches the Rfam family "Bacterial small subunit ribosomal RNA", at positions 59 to 940 of the family's 1533-position model. The record is from RNAcentral. Lineage: Bacteria; Bacillati; Actinomycetota; Actinomycetes; Streptosporangiales; Streptosporangiaceae.